GACAGAGGGUGCAAACGUUGCUCGGAAUCACUGGGCGUAAAGGGCGUGUAGGCGGGAAGGAAAGUCGGGCGUGAAAUCCCUGGGCUCAACCCAGGAACUGCACUCGAAACUUCUUUUCUUGAGUGCCGGAGAGGAAAGCGGAAUUCCUGGUGUAGAGGUGAAAUUCGUAGAUAUCAGGAGGAACACCAGUGGCGAAGGCGGCUUUCUGGACGGUAACUGACGCUGGAGAACGCGAAAGCGUGGGGAGCAAACAGG
This 255-nucleotide ribosomal RNA is filed under the name uncultured bacterium. RNAcentral's name for it is "partial 16S ribosomal RNA". It matches the Rfam family "Bacterial small subunit ribosomal RNA", at positions 524 to 776 of the family's 1533-position model. The record is from RNAcentral.